RNA transcript from Populus trichocarpa (black cottonwood), 2185 nucleotides. It is a transcript of the gene named probable beta-1,3-galactosyltransferase 12, with no coding region annotated. Lineage: Eukaryota; Viridiplantae; Streptophyta; Magnoliopsida; Malpighiales; Salicaceae. The record is from RefSeq and is a predicted model, not a curated record. The transcript has 4 exons.
AUUCUUGUCCCACCUGCCCCUCCCUCGUUACAAACAGACAAUUCUCUCCUCCCAGAAUACGAGGACAUUUCUAACACCUCUUUGAAUGGGAUCAGUUGGUGUUUUGGCUUCUCGAGAGUUUUUGUUUUUGCUUUUCACCUGUGAAAGUAGCUAAUGACCCUUUUGUUUGGAUGCUUUAGAUACAUCCAUGCCUCAUGCAAAAACUAUCCAACGACGUCGGGUUUUGUAUUUCAGAGCCUGCUUCAUGCUCCCUUGAAAAUGCCCUGCCCUGAGACUGAGAGUACAAGUCUUAUGAAUAUUUUUGUUUUUUUUUUCAAAGUUUAUUUCAUUGUGCAGUAAAAUAAAUACAUAAAUUAAAUCACAGCGUAGCAUUGUUAGUUGUGAAUUUUUUUACAACAUCCCCAGAACCCUGCUUCUACUCCUGUUUCGCACUUCCGCUCUUCCAGUUCAACCAAACACGGUGGCUCUCCACCAAAUCAAAUGCCACUCUUCUCCCACCGCUACAUCUCAUCCUCUCCUCCGCCAUCCCAACCACCAACAAUCCCAAAACCUCAAAACCCAACUUUAUCCCUCCCUCAACCCGUUACCCUCUACCUUUUCUAGUCUUUUCACUGAUAUCUCUUCUCACUGGCCUUUCUGGGAUCGCUAUCUCGGAUCUGCAGGCUCAAACCUGUUCCAGUUUUUCGUUGUGGCAAAUCUGAGGACACUUUUCGAGCAUUUUAUUCUGGUUCGGGUAGACGGAGCAUUGAUUGACAGGCCUAAACUUCUUGGGUUUGUUGGGACUCAAACCGGGUUUGAAUCCGGUGAUCGCCGGGCUGCACUUAGAAGUACUUGGUUUCCUUGUGACCCAGAUGGAAUUUUGAGGUAAAACCAUGACUUUUGCGUAGAAAGUCGAGAGCUUUGAGAGAAACUUGCUGGCAAAUGGCAAUGAUGACCAAUGAUAAUCCCAGCUCUAUGAGAUCUUCAUUUGGAAGGUCAAGGACUACAUGUUAUCAAUUUCUAUCUGAGCCGAUAACAUUGUUUGAGUAAGAUCAUUAUUUUUUUUACUCAAAUAUAAUUUGGUUAUAUUGUUUCUUCAUCUAUUUCUCCCUUUAUUUCUUUUAUUCUGCUGUGACUCUUUGCUUUAAAAUUUGGUUUUUUACGAACUGAUCAUGCACUGAUCAUAUUGAAAAGGCCAAGUUCACUGCUGCUCUAUGGCAAGUUGGAGCAAGCUACUGGUUUAUCAUUUAGGUUCCUAAUAGGACGUUCAAAAGAUGCAAAGAAAAUGGCCCUGCUUGAGAAAGAGGUGGAUAAGUACAAAGAUUUCAUGUUCAUAGAUGUUGAGGAAGAAUAUCUAAAGCUCCCAUACAAAGCAUAACAGUUCCUUUUUCCACCUUAAGUUUUCUAAUACCUUUCUUCUGUCAUUAGGUUGGCCUAUUUCAAAACAGCCUUUCAGCUUUUUGAAGCAGAUUAUUAUGUCAAAGCUGAUGAUGAUAUCUAUUUGCGUCCAGGUAUAUAGUAGCAUAUGUAAUGAUUUAUUAGUGAGAUAACUGCGAUUAAUUAACAUUAAUAUUUCUGCUAUGUUUGAUUGCCUUGCAACUCUUCUUGCUAAGGAAAUAAUCCAUUCACCAACUUAUAUCUGAUGCAUGAAGAAAGGACCAGUUAUCACUGACCCUCAUAAGAAGUGGUAUGAGAAAUCUGGACAUCUGAUUGGAAAAGAGUACUUCUUGCAUGCUUAUGGACCCAUAUAUGUUCCUUCUGCAGAGGUUGUGGCUUCAUUGGCUGCUGCUAGAAAUAACAGCUUUCAGUUUGAGAAUGUUCAGCAAUGAGGAUGUCACCAUUGGAUCGUGGAUGGUUGCUAUGAAUGUUCAUCAUGAAGACAACCGAGAAAUAUGUGAUCCCCGAAGCACUCCAACAUCUAUAGCAGUUUGGGAUAUUCCUAAAUGUUCUAGUAAUAGUACCUUGAAUUCCUAUAGAUUUUUCCUUUUGCAUAUAAGCAAUAGGCCAAACACGUUCUCUUGAUUUCCUUCUCAGCCCAUUGAAUUCUUAUUGUGAAGAAGUUAAGAUUAUACAAUCAAUAUGUUGUUUCUUGAGCUAGUAUGCGGGAAUACUUGAAGCACACAUUAAAACAAACCGAUAUCAUUUCUAUGUAGUUGUAUGCUCUAAAGAUUUCUUUUAAUUGUAAUCAGUCAUGCAUUUAACUGUA